Non-coding RNA from Acanthosepion pharaonis, 114 nucleotides. NCBI's taxonomy places the organism in Eukaryota, Metazoa, Mollusca, Cephalopoda, Sepiida, Sepiidae. The record is from the annotation of a GenBank genome assembly.
UUACGGCCAUAUCACGUUGAAACACUGUUUCUUGUCCGAUCACUGAAGUUAAGCAAUGUUGAACCAGGUCAGCACCUAGAUAGGUUACUGCUGAGGAAUACCAGAUGCUGUAAG